RNAcentral lists this ribosomal RNA (314 nucleotides) under uncultured bacterium. Its description in RNAcentral is "bacterial SSU rRNA". The record is from RNAcentral.
GACGAGGAAGACCAGUGUUAUUCAUCUUUAAUAGGUUUAAAGGGUACCUAGACGGUAUUUUUAGCCAUAACAAUGGUACGGAUUUACUAGAGUUUAAUAUGUAAGCAGGUAGUAUUUAUGGUGUAGAGAUAAAAUUCAUUGAUAUCAUAAGGACUGGUAAUGGCGAAAGCAACCUUAAGUGUAUUUAACACUAAGACAAGUAAGUUAUAUAACGUAAAGUAUUAGGGUUAAACACUGACAAAAUAUAUAAAAGCACUGUUUUAAAACUAUGUAUAAACUGACGUUGAGGGACGAAGGCCUGGGGAGCGAUAAGG